This 65-nucleotide transfer RNA is filed under the name Schistocephalus solidus. It matches the Rfam family "tRNA", at positions 5 to 66 of the family's 71-position model. Rfam says of the family: Transfer RNA (tRNA) molecules are approximately 80 nucleotides in length. Their secondary structure includes four short double-helical elements and three loops (D, anti-codon, and T loops). Further hydrogen bonds mediate the characteristic L-shaped molecular structure. tRNAs have two regions of fundamental functional importance: the anti-codon, which is responsible for specific mRNA codon recognition, and the 3' end, to which the tRNAs corresponding amino acid is attached (by aminoacyl-tRNA synthetases). tRNAs cope with the degeneracy of the genetic code in two manners: having more than one tRNA (with a specific anti-codon) for a particular amino acid; and 'wobble' base-pairing, i.e. permitting non-standard base-pairing at the 3rd anti-codon position. Lineage: Eukaryota; Metazoa; Platyhelminthes; Cestoda; Diphyllobothriidea; Diphyllobothriidae. The record is from Rfam by way of RNAcentral.
CCGUGGCUCAAUCGUUAGAGCGUUAGACUUCUAAUCAAAAGGUCGCGGAUUCGAGCUUCGGUUGG